CGCGCCAGCAGUGGAAGCAACAGCCCGCCGAGCUCUAUUUCCUGAAACUACUGAGAGUCCCAAGGCUCCGAUGACCACACAGCAGGACGAGGAAGACGCCCCAGAGCCGUUGCUGCACCCUAAAAACAAAAGGCCAAAGCGAACAACUGUACAAGAUUCCCAGGAACAGACCACUCGCGCAACUACCCUA
Molecule: long non-coding RNA, 190 nt
Organism: Sorghum bicolor (sorghum)
Lineage: Eukaryota; Viridiplantae; Streptophyta; Magnoliopsida; Poales; Poaceae
Exons: 3
Source: RefSeq, a predicted model, not a curated record